Molecule: unclassified non-coding RNA, 1137 nt
Filed under: Hevea brasiliensis (rubber tree)
Lineage: Eukaryota; Viridiplantae; Streptophyta; Magnoliopsida; Malpighiales; Euphorbiaceae
Source: RNAcentral
CCUACCUUUUUAUCAAGCGCCUUGUCUCAUUGGGGCGCCUCGGUGCGCUUCAGUGAGGUGUUGCGCCUCAGCUGUCCCGAGGUGCUUGGGGCUGCGCCUGGUGCGCUUUGCGCCUGAGGCACGCCUUUGAUAACAGUGCAUCAACGUAUACCACAAAUAAGAUUAUACCACUUUCUGAAUGCUUAAAAAAUACAGAAUGAUCAAAAUUGCUCUUUUGCAUACCAAACUGAUUUACCACCUCACUAAAUCUUCCAAACCAAGCUCGGAGACUUUGUUUCAAACUAUAAAGAGAUUUGUGAAGCCUGCAAACUUUGCUUGAAUCCCCUUGAGCAACAAACCUAGGUGGUUGCUUCAUAUAUACCUCUUCUUGAAGAUUACCAUGAAGAAAAACAUUCUUGAUAUCCAACUGGUGCAAGGGCCAAUCAUAUAUAGCUGCUAAAGAAAUGAACAAGCGAACAGAAGCAAGUUUAGUUACAAGUAAAAAAGUAACAGAGUAAUCAACUCCAUAGGUCUGAGUAUAUCCUUUUGCCCCAAGACGAGCUUUUAACUGAGCCACAGAUCCAUCGGGAUUCACUUUCACUGUGAACACCCAUUUACAACCUACAACCUUCUUACUAGUGGGCAGAGAUACCAAGUCCCAUGUACCAUUAGUUUCUAGAGCCUUCAUCUCCUCUCUCAUAGCAUCACACCAGCCGGGAUGGGAUAAUGCCUCACUAACAGUUUUGGGAAUAUAGAUAGAGUCUAAAGAAGUAACAAAACAGGAAGAACAAGAAGAUAACUGAUUAUAAGAAACUAAAGAUGAAAUAGGAUAAGUACAUGUGCGUCUAGCUUUGCGAAGAGCAAUUGGUAAAUCAGGGUCAGAAUUAGGACCAGAACCAGGAACUGGAUCUCCCAACGAAGAAGCCGGUAGAGAGUUUGAGUCUGAGUCUUGGAUCUCUUCGAUCCUCUUGGGAAAGGUCCUAGAAUAAACAUGAUGAACUGGUGGUUUAGGCUGAAUUGGUACCGAGGCUGAAGGAUCAGAUGAUGGGAGAGGACUAGACAUAGUAUAUAUUAAGAGAUCAUCCUCUUCCCCCUGACUUUCAUACAUAGAUAAUUGAGAAAAAAAUGGGGUAAACUCAAAAAAUAUAACAUCAGCAG